Molecule: ribosomal RNA, 402 nt
Filed under: uncultured bacterium
Lineage: Bacteria
Description: partial 16S ribosomal RNA
Rfam family: Bacterial small subunit ribosomal RNA
Source: RNAcentral
AUUGAACGCUGGCGGCAGGCCUAACACAUGCAAGUCGAACGAGUGGGGACGGGUGAGUAACACGUGGGUAACCUCCCAUCAGAGGGGAUAACACUUGGAAACAGGUGCUAUACCGAAAUUGACGGAUGGACUCGCGUGGCAUUAGCGAGUUGGUGGGGUAACGGCUCACCAAGGUCACGAUGCAUAGCCGACCUGAGAGGGUGAUCGGCCACACUGGGACUGAGACACGGUCCAGACUCCUACGGGAGGCAGCAGUGGGGAAUCUUCGGCAAUGGGCGAAAGUCUGACCGAGCAACGCCGCGUGAGUGAAGAAGGUUUUCGGAUCGUAAAACACUGUUGUUAGGGAAGCGGUAUUUAACGAGGAAGCCACGGCUAACUACGUGCCAGCAGCCGCGGUAAUUC